AGAGUUUGAUCCUGGCUCAGGAUGAACGCUAGCUACAGGCUUAACACAUGCAAGUCGAGGGGCAGCAUCAUCAAAGCUUGCUUUGAUGGAUGGCGACCGGCGCACGGGUGAGUAACACGUAUCCAACCUGCCGACAACACUGGGAUAGCCUUUCGAAAGAAAGAUUAAUACCGGAUGGCAUAGUUUUCCCGCAUGGGAUAAUUAUUAAAGAAUUUCGGUUGUCGAUGGGGAUGCGUUCCAUUAGGCAGUUGGCGGGGUAACGGCCCACCAAACCAACGAUGGAUAGGGGUUCUGAGAGGAAGGUCCCCCACAUUGGAACUGAGACACGGUCCAAACUCCUACGGGAGGCAGCAGUGAGGAAUAUUGGUCAAUGGACGAGAGUCUGAACCAGCCAAGUAGCGUGAAGGAUGACUGCCCUAUGGGUUGUAAACUUCUUUUAUACGGGAAUAAAGUGAGCCACGUGUGGCUUUUUGUAUGUACCGUAUGAAUAAGGAUCGGCUAACUCCGUGCCAGCAGCCGCGGUAAUACGGAGGAUCCGAGCGUUAUCCGGAUUUAUUGGGUUUAAAGGGAGCGUAGGCGGGUUGUUAAGUCAGUUGUGAAAGUUUGCGGCUCAACCGUAAAAUUGCAGUUGAUACUGGCGACCUUGAGUGCAACAGAGGUAGGCGGAAUUCGUGGUGUAGCGGUGAAAUGCUUAGAUAUCACGAAGAACUCCGAUUGCGAAGGCAGCUUACUGGAUUGUAACUGACGCUGAUGCUCGAAAGUGUGGGUAUCAAACAGGAUUAGAUACCCUGGUAGUCCACACAGUAAACGAUGAAUACUCGCUGUUGGCGAUAUACAGUCAGCGGCCAAGCGAAAGCAUUAAGUAUUCCACCUGGGGAGUACGCCGGCAACGGUGAAACUCAAAGGAAUUGACGGGGGCCCGCACAAGCGGAGGAACAUGUGGUUUAAUUCGAUGAUACGCGAGGAACCUUACCCGGGCUUAAAUUGCAACUGACGGAAUCGGAAACGGUUCUUUCUUCGGACAGUUGUGAAGGUGCUGCAUGGUUGUCGUCAGCUCGUGCCGUGAGGUGUCGGCUUAAGUGCCAUAACGAGCGCAACCCUUAUCGAUAGUUACUAGCAGGUCAUGCUGAGGACUCUAUUGAGACUGCCGUCGUAAGACGUGAGGAAGGUGGGGAUGACGUCAAAUCAGCACGGCCCUUACGUCCGGGGCUACACACGUGUUACAAUGGGGGGUACAGAAGGCAGCUACACGGCGACGUGGUGCUAAUCCCAAAAGCCUCUCUCAGUUCGGAUUGGAGUCUGCAACCCGACUCCAUGAAGCUGGAUUCGCUAGUAAUCGCGCAUCAGCCACGGCGCGGUGAAUACGUUCCCGGGCCUUGCACACACCGCUCGUCAAG
RNAcentral lists this ribosomal RNA (1397 nucleotides) under uncultured bacterium. Its description in RNAcentral is "bacterial SSU rRNA". It matches the Rfam family "Bacterial small subunit ribosomal RNA". The record is from RNAcentral.